AGAGUUUGAUCCUGGCUCAGAUUGAACGCUGGCGGCAUGCCUUACACAUGCAAGUCGAACGGUAACGCGGGGCAACCUGGCGACGAGUGGCGAACGGGUGAGUAACGCAUCGGAACGUGCCCAGUAGUGGGGGAUAGCCCGGCGAAAGCCGGAUUAAUACCGCAUACGACCUACGGGUGAAAGGGGGGGAUCGCAAGACCUCUCGCUAUUGGAGCGGCCGAUGUCAGAUUAGGUUGUUGGUGGGGUAAAGGCCUACCAAGCCGACGAUCUGUAGCUGGUCUGAGAGGACGACCAGCCACACUGGGACUGAGACACGGCCCAGACUCCUACGGGAGGCAGCAGUGGGGAAUUUUGGACAAUGGGCGCAAGCCUGAUCCAGCCAUGCCGCGUGCGGGAAGAAGGCCUUCGGGUUGUAAACCGCUUUUGUCAGGGAAGAAACGCUCUGAGUUAAUACCUCGGGGUAAUGACGGUACCUGAAGAAUAAGCACCGGCUAACUACGUGCCAGCAGCCGCGGUAAUACGUAGGGUGCAAGCGUUAAUCGGAAUUACUGGGCGUAAAGCGUGCGCAGGCGGUUAUGCAAGACAGAUGUGAAAUCCCCGGGCUCAACCUGGGAACUGCAUUUGUGACUGCAUAGCUAGAGUACGGUAGAGGGGGAUGGAAUUCCGCGUGUAGCAGUGAAAUGCGUAGAUAUGCGGAGGAACACCGAUGGCGAAGGCAAUCCCCUGGACCUGUACUGACGCUCAUGCACGAAAGCGUGGGGAGCAAACAGGAUUAGAUACCCUGGUAGUCCACGCCCUAAACGAUGUCAACUGGUUGUUGGACGGCUUGCUGUUCAGUAACGAAGCUAACGCGUGAAGUUGACCGCCUGGGGAGUACGGCCGCAAGGUUGAAACUCAGAGGAAUUGACGGGGACCCGCACAAGCGGUGGAUGAUGUGGUUUAAUUCGAUGCAACGCGAAAAACCUUACCUACCCUUGACAUGUCUGGAAUCCUGAAGAGAUUCAGGAGUGCUCGAAAGAGAACCAGAACACAGGUGCUGCAUGGCCGUCGUCAGCUCGUGUCGUGAGAUGUUGGGUUAAGUCCCGCAACGAGCGCAACCCUUGUCAUUAGUUGCUACGAAAGGGCACUCUAAUGAGACUGCCGGUGACAAACCGGAGGAAGGUGGGGAUGACGUCAGGUCCUCAUGGCCCUUAUGGGUAGGGCUACACACGUCAUACAAUGGCCGGUACAGAGGGCUGCCAACCCGCGAGGGGGAGCUAAUCCCAGAAAACCGGUCGUAGUCCGGAUCGCAGUCUGCAACUCGACUGCGUGAAGUCGGAAUCGCUAGUAAUCGCGGAUCAGCUUGCCGCGGUGAAUACGUUCCCGGGUCUUGUACACACCGCCCGUCACACCAUGGGAGCGGGUUCUGCCAGAAGUAGUUAGCCUAACCGCAAGGAGGGCGAUUACCACGGCAGGGUUCGUGACUGGGGUGAAGUCGUAACAAGGUA
This 1487-nucleotide ribosomal RNA is filed under the name metagenome. Its description in RNAcentral is "bacterial SSU rRNA". It matches the Rfam family "Bacterial small subunit ribosomal RNA". The record is from RNAcentral.